AGAAAAACCAGAGCACCCAUACAAAAACCGAGACAUAAGGAGAAGAUGCAGACUCCACUCAGGCAGUGAUCAGGUGUUUUGUGGGUUGACCACCAAGAGAUGAAGCCACUGGCCAAUCACCACCAGGAACUGCCCUCUGCCUUAUAUAUCUGGAGGGUCUUUUACUGCUCCUGGUGGCUCAUUUCAAAUGUGGAUCUGACAAAGUGAUGAGCCAGUUGGUGGGCUUCAGUGAGCUGAUUCUGUUUCCUGCAUUGAAGGCCAAUAGUCAGGCUGUGCCCUU
This is a long non-coding RNA of Polypterus senegalus (gray bichir), 280 nucleotides long. RefSeq lists it as uncharacterized. The transcript is spliced from 3 exons. Lineage: Eukaryota; Metazoa; Chordata; Cladistia; Polypteriformes; Polypteridae. The record is from RefSeq and is a predicted model, not a curated record.